Molecule: long non-coding RNA, 1913 nt
Organism: Hypanus sabinus (Atlantic stingray)
Lineage: Eukaryota; Metazoa; Chordata; Chondrichthyes; Myliobatiformes; Dasyatidae
Exons: 4
Source: RefSeq, a predicted model, not a curated record
AUGCCUCUUCCCAGCCGAAGCCUCUACUUCCGACAAUGGCCGCUCUGCUUAUCCCUUCUGUGCUUUCAUUUAGUUCCUAGAGCUCAGUUGACGCUGCUGAUAGGGCACGUACAAUGGACAAAUGCCCUCGAAGCUCCCUUUUUAAAUAACCGCUGCCGACCUGAUAGCGUAUGGCAAUCCACCAGUAACGCUCCGAACUUUUUUCUGGUAGAACGGCUUGUCCACCUAUUUGACUUGGCGUGUUGGUGUUGAACCGCUCUUGAAAGAUGCAAGUAUGUCUGAACAUGGAAAAUACGUGAACGUAUUCUUCCACCAGCUUCUGACAUCAAGUCAAUAAGCCCUGGAGCUUUAGCUGCUGGUUACAUACAGGUCCUAGAUUCAGCUUUUGCCAACAUGGAAAACGGUGAUGAAUUAUUCACCAAAUUCAUGAACAUGGUGCAGAAGUCAGGUGAAAGCCGUCCGCCUCCCUGUAGCGGCUACAGGUAGCGUUGACACUGACUGUAAAGCUAAAAUUGAGGCUAACAAGCAUCUCUUAAAGCAGUUUUGCGGGGGAUAUUGGGACCACUCCCCAGUGUUAGAGCUGCAACUGGAACCGAAAACUCAAAGCCUGCCAUCAUUGACAUUUCUAAGCAUGCUUCCAGAACCGCACGCAGGGAACAGCCAAACAUCGUGCCAUUACUCCGGGUGCCUGUAAAGAAGAUGGUGUUGCACAGCUAAUUUCAAUUACUUCUCAACUAACUAAGCAAAUUCAUGAGUUACUCCACAAGCCACGAAACAGCAGAAAGUAAAAAAAAAAUGGUGAGGUGUCUGUGCGAGAACGAAGCGUGGCUGACGCAGGCGCGGGAAAGCGAGAGAAAUGCGGCAAACUUUCGGAAACUAAAAAUAUCAUCCGUUAACAGUGGAAUUAGUAGUCGGGGGUCGGCAACCUGCGGCUCCCGAGCCAUUUGUGGCUCUUUCACCUCUGUGCUGCGGCUCCCUGUGGCUUUGGGAAAUAAUUGCUACAGAACAAAUCCAACAGAGACGGUGAAAUGAGAUGAAACUCAAACGUUCUGCAGGUCUCGGUGUGGGGAUCCCAAAGCCGAGUCUGAGGUGGAGGAACACGCACUCGAUGGACAGGUGACGUGUCUGCUAUUGUGCUCCCAACUCAAACUUCUUGAUGCCAGUCCUAAUGUUUCUCCUCUGUGUUAGGUAGUAAUAGCAAUGGAUUCCUAGGAGAUCAUGUGGAUGUUAUGUUCUCUCAUGGAAGGCAGUCUCUUUCAAGAGUCUGGUGCAUGGCAUGGGAACAACGUAGCCUAUUUACUGAGAUCCUGGCUCCCACAGUCCCACCAUGGAAUCUGUGCAGGGAAUGCUGACCUGAGAGAGGACACUUACUCUGCCAAUGGUUUUGCAGUAUUUUUUUGAGAUGGUGUUAAUUGCUUCAAAAAAUCAGGGAUCACAUCUGCCUGGAAGGCCAAGAGCAUUGUGAUGGACAAUAUCUGUCCUUACUUAGAAUGGCAGCAUGCUUGAAAAAACAGCCAGGUUCCUUCCUGCCUAGAGAGACUUCAGCUCUUCAGCAGGUCUCUAGGUCCUGCAUACAAUUUUGGGCAAUGUGCAUCAACCAGUGUACCCCUUAGAGGAGGGAAGACAGUCCAGAAAAUGGUGUGAUGUGAUGGUUAAUCUAUUGGAUUAGUUACUAGAGUUUGGAUCAGUGAUCCAGAGGUUCAAGAUCUUGUGGUAGCCGAGUCUCUAAGUUCAAGAAGACUUAGACUCCAAUAACUUGCUAGAAAUCCUAAUGUUUAGCAUCUGGCAAACCAGCUGAUGUGGGCCACAAGCAACACAAAAUGAUUUUGCAACUGCUGGAAAUCUUGAGCAACACACACAAAAUUCUGGAGGCCUGAUAAAGAGUCUUGGCCAAAAACAUCUACUGUGUAUUU